RNAcentral lists this transfer RNA (74 nucleotides) under Candidatus Kerfeldbacteria bacterium. RNAcentral's name for it is "tRNA-Val". It matches the Rfam family "tRNA". Rfam says of the family: Transfer RNA (tRNA) molecules are approximately 80 nucleotides in length. Their secondary structure includes four short double-helical elements and three loops (D, anti-codon, and T loops). Further hydrogen bonds mediate the characteristic L-shaped molecular structure. tRNAs have two regions of fundamental functional importance: the anti-codon, which is responsible for specific mRNA codon recognition, and the 3' end, to which the tRNAs corresponding amino acid is attached (by aminoacyl-tRNA synthetases). tRNAs cope with the degeneracy of the genetic code in two manners: having more than one tRNA (with a specific anti-codon) for a particular amino acid; and 'wobble' base-pairing, i.e. permitting non-standard base-pairing at the 3rd anti-codon position. The record is from RNAcentral. Lineage: Bacteria; Candidatus Kerfeldiibacteriota.
GGGGAAGUAGCUCAGUUGGUUAGAGCGCUUCGUUUACACCGAAGAGGCCAGGGGUUCGAUUCCUCUCUUCCCCA